CAAUAGCGUAUAUUAAAGUUGUUGCGGUUAAAAAAGCUCGUAGUUGGAUUUCUGUUGAGGUUGACCGGUCCAUCUUAGGGUGCGAAUCAGGUUCGACCGAGACAUUUUCUGGAUGUAGCUCUGCACUUUAUUGAGUGGUGUGAACUCCAGGCUUUUACUUUGAGGAAAUUAGAGUGUUUCAAGCAGGCGUAUGCCUUGAAUACAUUAGCAUGGAAUAAUAAGAUAGGACUUUGGUUCUAUUUUGUUGGUUUCUAGAACUGAAGUAAUGAUUAAUAGGGACAGUCGGGGGCAUUCGUACUUAACUGUCAGAGGUGAAAUUCUUGGAUUUGUUAAAGACGAACUACUGCGAAAGCAUUUGCCAAGGAUGUUUUCAUUGAUCAAGAACGAAAGUUAGGGGAUCGAAGAUGAUCAGAU
This 414-nucleotide ribosomal RNA is filed under the name uncultured eukaryote. RNAcentral describes it as "bacterial SSU rRNA". It matches the Rfam family "Eukaryotic small subunit ribosomal RNA", at positions 592 to 1013 of the family's 1831-position model. The record is from RNAcentral.